RNAcentral lists this ribosomal RNA (308 nucleotides) under uncultured bacterium. RNAcentral describes it as "partial 16S ribosomal RNA". It matches the Rfam family "Bacterial small subunit ribosomal RNA", at positions 505 to 807 of the family's 1533-position model. The record is from RNAcentral.
GAGACAGCAGCCGCCGCGGUAAUACAGAGGGUGCGAGCGUUAAUCGGAUUUACUGGGCGUAAAGCGUGCGUAGGCGGCUUCUUAAGUCGGAUGUGAAAUCCCUGAGCUUAACUUAGGAAUUGCAUUCGAUACUGGGAAGCUAGAGUAUGGGAGAGGACGGUAGAAUUCCAGGUGUAGCGGUGAAAUGCGUAGAGAUCUGGAGGAAUACCGAUGGCGAAGGCAGCCAUCUGGCCUAAUACUGACGCUGAGGUACGAAAGCAUGGGGAGCAAACAGGAUUAGAUACCCCGGUAGUCCCUGUCUCUUAUAC